Hipposideros armiger (great roundleaf bat) is the source of this 1031-nucleotide long non-coding RNA. RefSeq lists it as uncharacterized. NCBI's taxonomy places the organism in Eukaryota, Metazoa, Chordata, Mammalia, Chiroptera, Hipposideridae. The transcript has 4 exons. The record is from RefSeq and is a predicted model, not a curated record.
AUGGGGCGGCGGGUGGAGGGGUGGGGGGUGUCGAAGGGCUGGAGAUGUGGCUCAGGCCGAGUCGUCAGGCGCUUUCGGGGUCGCUGCGCCAGCCAGCGGGUUGGGUAAGGCGACACCGUGGCUGAAAGCGCAGCGGCUGCCUCGGGAGCUCUCCCGGGUCCUGAUUUCCUGGCGCAUCCUGAUGCCCGCGACUCCAGGCGACUGACUUCCAUCGGAAACCUCAGCUCCGAACGCCUGGCUUUUAGAAUGCUAGAGUUUGGGAGGUUCUGGGGACCGUCCCUGGGGGAGGAGGUGGCAGGCUGUGCGGCUCCUGCGUCCCUUAUGAUUCCUGCACAGUUACCGAGGGAGACUGUGCCAGAAAUGGCUUUGCUGCAAAACGCAUUCUCGUGCCAUUUCCGUACCCCGAUACGGCACACACACGAUUGCCGGAUCGAUCGGAAAUAGGAGGGAAAGGUAGAGUGGAAAUUGAUUUCUUGCACAGACUAAGGCGGCGAAUGAUAGAGGGAAUAAACAUUGGCCCUGGAUAAAAAUGUUCUUGGAAAACAGUGGAUUGUAAGGGUGAAUGUGAAGUAGGGGAGUUUAAUGAGGCAACGUCAAGGCUGAAAGUCCAUUUCUGGCACUCCAAACCCAAUCACAAGUAAAGCUGAUGUCUGCCUGCUUGCUAACGAGGCUGUAUUCUAGCUCUAAUGAUGUCCUAGAGCAGAAGUUUUUCUUCAGUCAUCACAUUUUACCAAAAGGAUGAUUUCUGUGUAUGUCCCUGUGUUUGCCAGAGACUGACAAAUGUUGCUGGGGGAUCUGGGACUCACAUAAGGAGGAUGAAUAUCCUGAAUUACAUCCAUUAUAAAUACAAUCUAACAACUGUGACAUACAGAGAGCAUACUUUCCAUCUAAUAUCUCAAUAUGCCUCCUAAACCUACUGGUAUAAUUUGCUAUUCAAAGAAAUGCAAUCAUUUGUUGAGGACCAAGCUUAACUUAAAUCACAAUUUUUGUAUAUUUAAGUAAAAUAAAUAUAAGUUUGCUGUUCUUUGAAA